Molecule: long non-coding RNA, 1286 nt
Organism: Nycticebus coucang (slow loris)
Lineage: Eukaryota; Metazoa; Chordata; Mammalia; Primates; Lorisidae
Exons: 3
Source: RefSeq, a predicted model, not a curated record
GAGGACACUAGGACCCCCGGCAGCGGACCCAGAGCGCGAAGGCGCCUCCUGGCCCAGCCCGUGGUCCCUCUCCUUCGGCCAGGGCUGAUUACUCGUCCCCUUUGGGUCCUUACGGGGGAGCACUGGCCACCUCUCCAUCCCACCUGACUUAGCCAUGAACCUCCCAGACGCUUCCCAGGCCGGGUCUCAGCCUCCUGGAGGACGCAGCUGAUGAACAGCUGCGCUGGCCGCCGUUGGGCCCAAUUUUCAGCCUUCUUUCCGCAGUCAGGAAAACCUUUCCGAACCCCCGGCCAAUCCUGCUCUGACCACACGUCCCUGGCUCCUUCUGCCCCAGGCUGGUGACUCGUGCUUGGCCCUCUCCCCUUGACCUCUGCACACAUUGUAUAGCUCAAGGGAAAGACAACAGACUGCCUGGUUUAUACCCAGCUAGCACUUCCUGGCUGUGUGAUCUUCCAUAGGUUCCUCACUUCUCUGUGCCUUAGUUUCCCUAUCUAUAAACUGGCAUAAUAAUAGUGACCUAACUCAAGAGCUGCUCUAGGGCUCAACCAGUUAGCAAGUGAGAUGUUUAGAGUCUGGUUGAGGCAGGGAGUUGGGGGGACUGAAUGAACGUGAGCUGCUAUCCAGGAAACACAAAUUUCUUCCCUUGCCGGCUCCUCUGCGGCCUCCUUUGACAUCUCCACUCUGGUAUCAGUGAUGACAAUUUGGACUUCAAGUGACAAACAUUCUGACUCAACUUCUGUCACAAGAGUGCCCAGGAUUGGAGCCACCACAUCUGUGAGUGGCUCUGCCUCUCCCAGCCUACCUCUUGGUUGCAGAAGGGCUGCCACAGCCCCACACCUCUCAUCUCUUCCCAUGUGUCCCCAUGGGUGACUGUGGAGACCUCUCCUGGCAGACUGCCCUAACAGAACUCACUCCCUCAUGCACAAGCACCUAAACCAGCUACAGUGUCCAGGAAUUAAAUCAGGGAGAUGUAACCAGGAAGAUGCACAGGGACUGACCACCUGCCAAAGUCAAGAGUUCCCCUAGGGUGAGGACAGCAGGGUCGGUGGUCAGGAGGGCCACCACCACAUCUGCCGUGCCCUCCUCCCAGCCCUGACCAUUCCUUCAUCCCUCCACCUUCUUACUUUGGGGGUCUCCUCCAGCCCUGGAGCCUCAGGCACCAUCUCUGUGACAAUGACUCCCAAGUUGACACCUCCAGCGGGCCUCUCCUUCUGCUCCAGACUAGUGCUUUCAGAAGUCUGCUCCAUGUUCCAUUUCUGUCACCAAUAAAUGUCUCCCACUCACCA